Molecule: unclassified non-coding RNA, 316 nt
Filed under: fungal sp.
Lineage: Eukaryota; Fungi
Description: partial internal transcribed spacer region
Rfam family: Eukaryotic small subunit ribosomal RNA (bases 1-46)
Source: RNAcentral
AAGUCGUAACAAGGUAACCGUAGGUGAACCUGCGGUUGGAUCAUUAACAAAAUUGGUAGUCUUUUUUUUUUAUAAAAAAAGCUAUUUUAACACCAAUGUGAACUUGUAUUAUUGUUUCUUUUUCUUUUUUUUUUCUUGAUUAAAUAAAUUUUUUUGGUUUGACCAAAAAGUUUUUUUUAUUUUGAGGAGGGAAAGAAAAAACCAUUUUAAACUUAAAAAGAAUUUAUAUAUUUUGACCUUUAAAUAAAAGUGUUUUAUACUUUAAAAAAAAAAUAAUUUAAAAAAACAACUUUUGGCAACGGAUCUCUAGGCUCUU